UACGUAGGUGGCAAGCGUUGUUCGGAAUGACUGGGCGUAAAGGGAGCGUAGGUUGUUUUUUAAGUUAAAUGUGAAAGCCCGGGGCUUAACUCCGGAAUGUCAUUUAAUACUGGAAAACUAGAGUGCAGGAGGGGUAAGAGGAAUUCCUAGUGUAGCGGUGGAAUGCAUAGAUAUUAGGAAGAACACCAGAGGCGAAGGCGUCUUACUGGACUGUAACUGACACUGAGGCUCGAAAGCGUGGGGAGCAAACAGGAUUAGAUACCCUGGUAGUCCACGCCCUAAACGAUGGAUACUAAACGUGGGAGGUAUCGACUCCUUCCGUGUUGAAGCAAACGCGAUAAGUAUCCCGCCUGAGGAGUACGGCCGCAAGGUUGAA
Molecule: ribosomal RNA, 376 nt
Filed under: uncultured bacterium
Lineage: Bacteria
Description: bacterial SSU rRNA
Rfam family: Bacterial small subunit ribosomal RNA
Source: RNAcentral